AGUCGAACGAGAUCUUCGGGUCUAGUGGCGCACGGGUGCGUAACGCGUGGGAAUCUGCCCUUUGGCUCGGAAUAACAGUUGGAAACGACAGCUAAUACCGGAUGAUGACGAAAGUCCAAAGAUUUAUCGCCAGAGGAUGAGCCCGCGUAGGAUUAGCUAGUUGGUGUGGUAAAGGCGCACCAAGGCGACGAUCCUUAGCUGGUCUGAGAGGAUGAUCAGCCACACUGGGACUGAGACACGGCCCAGACUCCUACGGGAGGCAGCAGUGGGGAAUAUUGGACAAUGGGCGAAAGCCUGAUCCAGCAAUGCCGCGUGAGUGAUGAAGGCCUUAGGGUUGUAAAGCUCUUUUACCCGGGAUGAUAAUGACAGUACCGGGAGAAUAAGCUCCGGCUAACUCCGUGCCAGCAGCCGCGGUAAUACGGAGGGAGCUAGCGUUGUUCGGAAUUACUGGGCGUAAAGCGCACGUAGGCGGCUUUGUAAGUUAGAGGUGAAAGCCUGGAGCUCAACUCCAGAACUGCCUUUAAGACUGCAUCGCUUGAAUCCAGGAGAGGUGAGUGGAAUUCCGAGUGUAGAGGUGAAAUUCGUAGAUAUUCGGAAGAACACCAGUGGCGAAGGCGGCUCACUG
This 625-nucleotide ribosomal RNA is filed under the name uncultured bacterium. Its description in RNAcentral is "bacterial SSU rRNA". It matches the Rfam family "Bacterial small subunit ribosomal RNA", at positions 60 to 731 of the family's 1533-position model. The record is from RNAcentral.